ACAAGGAGAAGGCCCUGCUGCAGACAAGCAGCUAGAGUGAGAAUAAAAACAACAGGAUCACAGGGGCAACUCUGCACGAUCCAUGUGACAUUGGAGAAGGAUCAUCUGACUUCAUCACAGGGAGGGGGCGGAGCGUUCUCUGAGAAGGUUCGGAGUGAGCUGUACCUGGCCAGUCUUGGGGGAGGAGCAGCAUUUCACCAGGCUGCAGCUGACAAGAAGCUUCAAGACAGCCUGUCUCUUUUUGGAGUAAGAAUCAAGACAACCAGAUCACAGAGACAGACCCUUCCUGAUCCACGUGACAUUGGGUGGUGAGCUGCUUAUGAGAUAAUGAACCUCCUUAUCAGGGAGGGGCUCAAGAAAAGCUGUGGCAACAACUGAUGGCGACAUUGAGGAAGGCCUUCAUCCUCCAGGAAGCUGAGCUCACAGUGAAUCCCUUGGCCAGUUUCUGAUCUCAGAAUUCAGUGUAAAUAGCCUCAAGUCUCACCCACCUGCCUCUGGCAGAACUGGUGGGCAUCCCACAUCUUUCCUUCCAGUGGCUUCACCAUGUUACAAAGGCAAGCUGUGCAAUUAGCCCCUUCCCUGGAGCCCACUGCCUGAGACAUACUUUGGUACAUCCAUACAGGCAGGGACAUGUACACUGAAAAAUAAUAUGGAUGAUUGCUACCAGUAAAUAUGACUACAUAUCUAGUGUGUAUGAGCCUGAGGUUAAGUGCUUCCAUAGAAUGGCUGAAGGAUUAGUUGGCAGCAUUGACAGGCAAAUACUAGAUGCUGAGUUAAAUUUGAAUUUUACAUAAAAAAUGGGGGAAAAUUCAACUAUGAGUAUAUCCCACACAAUAGCUGGAAUAUACUUAUACUAAUAAAAAUGAUUUGUUGUUUAUCUAAAAUUCCAAUUUAAAAAUAAAUAAAUAAAUGUUUAUCUACUGGCAAUUUAAAUACUGAAAAUUGUAGUCCAGCAUUUCUAGACUGAAAUCUUAUGCUCCCAUGAACUGUGGGUCCCACACUACCAGAAAUAGCUUUGGACUUCUUUUAAACACUCUUAUUAAUCCUUGAUAUUCCAGAUGAAACAUAGCAUACAUUUCUGACCUCUAAUCAAGCCUUGCAUUGAAGAGAUAUUGAUAUUUUGUCUAUUUGUCAGAAAAGGAGACUGGGACACAGAUCAGCUAAGGAAAAUGCUUACAACCAUGCACUCAAACCUCAGUUAGUGUACUCAAUGAUUCUCUAGUUGGAAAGCUACUCAUGGAAUUUCCCUACUGUUUUACAGCCAUGAAAAAAUGUAACAGCUAUAAUGUGGGUUGUGAUAUCUGUCUUGGUUUUCUCCUCACAGAGAAACUGUUGAAAACUCUCCUUCACUAAUAUGCAGGUAUGACUCUGUCCCACCUGGCCUUAUUCCUAUGUAUCCCAGGAAGAAUGUGGUGGCUUCUUAAUUAAGAG
This 1431-nucleotide long non-coding RNA is filed under the name Bos grunniens (domestic yak). RNAcentral's name for it is "lncRNA (ENSBGRG00000021896.1)". Lineage: Eukaryota; Metazoa; Chordata; Mammalia; Artiodactyla; Bovidae. The record is from RNAcentral.